This 74-nucleotide transfer RNA is filed under the name Nanobdellota archaeon. Its description in RNAcentral is "tRNA-Ile". It matches the Rfam family "tRNA". From Rfam's summary of the family: Transfer RNA (tRNA) molecules are approximately 80 nucleotides in length. Their secondary structure includes four short double-helical elements and three loops (D, anti-codon, and T loops). Further hydrogen bonds mediate the characteristic L-shaped molecular structure. tRNAs have two regions of fundamental functional importance: the anti-codon, which is responsible for specific mRNA codon recognition, and the 3' end, to which the tRNAs corresponding amino acid is attached (by aminoacyl-tRNA synthetases). tRNAs cope with the degeneracy of the genetic code in two manners: having more than one tRNA (with a specific anti-codon) for a particular amino acid; and 'wobble' base-pairing, i.e. permitting non-standard base-pairing at the 3rd anti-codon position. Lineage: Archaea; Nanobdellati; Nanobdellota. The record is from RNAcentral.
GGCCCUGUAGCUUAGCCUGGUGGAGUUUCCGACUGAUAAUCGGAAGGUCCGGAGUUCAAAUCUCCGCAGGGCCA